Molecule: signal recognition particle RNA, 305 nt
Filed under: Phaseolus vulgaris (common bean)
Lineage: Eukaryota; Viridiplantae; Streptophyta; Magnoliopsida; Fabales; Fabaceae
Description: SRP RNA Plant_SRP
Rfam family: Plant signal recognition particle RNA
Source: Rfam by way of RNAcentral
GCCGAGCUAAGUUGCGAUAGCUUGUAACUCAUGUGAUGGCGUAAGGGUGAUUGAACUUAGUCAUGGCUACGCUCAGUUGGACUGGGGGUUGCUCUAUGCUGCCUGCCCACUUCAAGCCAGUAUUUGGUCAAUGGAAUUUGGGCGAAAGCUUGGAUUUCUUUGAUCCUAAAUCGAAGGGUAAUGCGUGAGGCUGGUUUCACAGAGCAGCGACAACCUUCCACUCUUGGCAGUGGAGGGAUAACGGGUUGCCUGCACCUUCGGCCCAUAAUCAACUGGGUGUGCCAAGCAUAUGAACCAUCAUUUUU